Molecule: unclassified non-coding RNA, 286 nt
Filed under: Hevea brasiliensis (rubber tree)
Lineage: Eukaryota; Viridiplantae; Streptophyta; Magnoliopsida; Malpighiales; Euphorbiaceae
Source: RNAcentral
UGUCCUUCAGUGUAGGGAAGAUGAAAGAAGGUAGAGAAAGAGUUACAGAUGAGUAUAUCAGGUCAGUGAUAGAUUGGCUGGAGGUGCAUAGAGGGAUUCCUGCGACACGUAAUGGGAAUUUCUAUGUGUCAGCUUGGUGGAAACUUCCAUUUAACGAGCUUGAUUUUGGGUUUGGAAAGGCUUCUCAUGGAGGACCAGUGUUGGGUGGGAAUGAUGAAUUUGUGCUGUUGCUUUCUGAUGGAAAGAGCAUGGAAAAUGGAGGAGGAGGGAUUAACGUUUGGAUGGG